GGUGGUACCACUCCUUCCCAUCCCGAACAGGACAGUGAAACGCCUCAGCGCCGAUGAUAGUGCGGAUUCCCGUGUGAAAGUAGGUCAUCAUCAGGC
Molecule: ribosomal RNA, 96 nt
Filed under: Burkholderiaceae bacterium
Lineage: Bacteria; Pseudomonadati; Pseudomonadota; Betaproteobacteria; Burkholderiales; Burkholderiaceae
Source: RNAcentral